RNAcentral lists this long non-coding RNA (619 nucleotides) under Zonotrichia albicollis (white-throated sparrow). Its description in RNAcentral is "lncRNA (ENSZALG00000000459.1)". The record is from RNAcentral. Lineage: Eukaryota; Metazoa; Chordata; Aves; Passeriformes; Passerellidae.
GGCACAGGGCUGGAGGGACACAGGGGUGGCCAAACGGACAAAACCAGUGGCCAAAGGGACAAAAUCAGUGGCCAAAGGGACAAAAUCAGUGGCCAAAGGGAUGAUGGUAGGUGGUCAGAGGGGAAUUGUGAUUGGGAACUGGAAUGUUCCCAGUGCUCCCAGUUCAGAACUUGUGGAAGACAUUGAAGGUUGGACACAGGUGAAGGUGUGGUGGUAGAACCAGGUGGCACAGGGACAGGUGUGGGGGUGGAACAGGUGGCAGAGGGACAGAACAGUGCCCAAAGUGCUGCUGGCAGGAGCCUGGGAGGACACAGGGGCGCUCCCAGCGCUCCCAGUUUAGGGCAUGUGGGAGUCUCUGAGGGGCAGAGUGGGGAUGAACACAAGCACAGGUGUGCUGGACACAGGUACAGGUGUGGUAGACGCAGCUACAGGCAUGGUGGACAUGGGUACAGGUGUGGUGCUGGAACAGGUGACACAGGGACAGAUGCAGUGACAGAACCAGGUGGCACAGGGACAGGUGCGGUGACAGAACCAGGUGGCACAGGGACAGGUGUGGUGACAGAACCAGGCUGCAGAGAGACAGAGCAGUGCCCAAAGUGCUGUGGCAGGAGCCGGGACG